ACAAAGAUAAACAACUAAAAUUAUAUUCCGAGGUUUUAGUUUAGAAUAUAAGGAGAGAGUAAACUGUUUAACAUACCUUUUUCUACAUGACAUCUUUCUUCGAUACAAACGUUCCGCAGCAGUUGGAUCAGAAUAGAUGUAAAUCGUUAGAGAGCUCUUGGCCAAUAACAUCAUUUUCCACCUGAAGAAAAAUAGCAUAGAAGGGAACAUGCAAUGAUUUAUUUAUCGAGCUCAAUUUAUCAGUGAGUGAGACAUAUAUUACCAGGAGUUCAGCAAUUCUUUUCAACUAAGUUCUUCACCUCAGUCUGAUAACGGAAGGGCUGCAACCAAAGAAUCAAACUUCACCAAAACAAAAAAAAAUAAAACAAAAAAAAAUCAUGAUAGUAGAGAUACGUGUACGAUUCAUUAGUUCCAUACAACCACCAGAGUAUCCAAAAAAAAAAAACCGUAAGUGGAUUCACACGGGUCACCACAGUUGUAAUUAUCAAGAAAGAGAAUUUGAGUUUUCUAUCUCAAGAUUUUAAUCACAAAUCUUGAAUAAAAUUCAUAUUAAGAAAAACGUAUAUAGUUGUGUUUCCUCCAAACGCCAGACGCCAAAAACAGGAUUUUUCCUAAUCAUCAUCACUUAAUGGUCAAGAUCUUGAUUAGGGAAGCGUUCCCAACUCGGAGUAGAGCAACAACGGAGUCUCCAGUCUUGCACAGCUCCUUCUCUUUCCCCUGCUGAGUCGCAAACUCAAUAGCUUCUUCUGUCGAUUCAUCGUGCGAGGCUCUUGCCGACCCUGCGUACAGCACAGGGAUCAAACCGCGGAAGAUAAGACUAUGCCUCGCAGGUGAUUCGUCGCUGCAAGACCAGUCGAGCAAGUCGGUUUCGAUCUAAAAUAGCAGACGGAGAAGACGAAGAGAAAGGGAUCGAGAUUCGAUUUUGGGAAAAUUAGAAUUUGUCAUGCGUAACUGACGUGGCGGAGAGCUGUUCUCUGAUUGGAUGAUUUAAUUGUCCUACGUGGACACACUCUCUGAUGCUUAUAUAACCCUUUUAGUAUAGGUUAGAUUUCAGUUCCUUAUACGAAAGUUUAAUAUAUUUACAGAUAAUGUAAUUAUAGUAGAGUACCAUUAUAGUAACGUGUCUAUUUAUAGGCUAAUUAAAUGUGAAGAUUGCUAAAUCGAACAUAGCUAUGAACAAUAUUGUUUCUACAAGGCAAACACAUGAAAAUUUAUAUUAACAUAUAAAACAAUAUAGAACUAUGUGAAUGUUCAAAUAUAAUUUACAAAAUUUUAAGUUAAUUAACAUAAUAAAACGAACUUGAGAACAUUUUAAAUUAAUCAAAUAUAUGUUCACUAAUAUUAAUUAAGAUUUAACAGUUAAAGGUUAAGAUUUAGAUUUAGCUUUUAGGAUUUCUUUCUGAUAUCACACGGUAAUUUUAUUAUUCAAACAAAAAGUGGUAAAAAAAAUAAAUCGGGAUUAAAUAAUCAACAUAAAAAGUUGUUUGUAUUAAGAUCUUGCACUUCUAGCUAGAGAAUCAAUAGUUGUAUUCUGAUCUCGAAUAAUGCAGAAAAGCUUAAAAAGUUAAAUCUUCUUUGUAACGUCAUAAUCUCUUUCACCUAUGUCAAGAAGUUUGGACAUACUUGUGGUUCCAAAAUUAUGGUGAUCAAAUCUUUGUAGUCCUGUUCCAACGUUUUGAUACAUAGAAUGCCAUAAGAUACUCUCUAUUGUCCAAAUAGGUGUAUCUAGCUCCAAAUAUAUAAAGAAGACUCUCAUCUGCUUUGGUUCUUUGUUCCCAUUAUUUGGAUAUUUCCAGAUGUGGCUUUCGAAAGCCAUCAAUUGUGAGGUAAAAUUCCAAUAGCCAUCCACCAAAAAGAUGAUUUUUACGCAUACGACACGUUAUCAUACGUCUCUUCGCUCUAAGAAAGGAUCCCCAUAAAAAAGUCAUACAUACCCUUAUUUUAUCAAUGACUGCCUCAACAUCAGUCAUUCGAUAAAGAGAACAUUAAAUUGGAAAUCAUCCAUAAAUACAGAACUAAACUUUCGCUUUGGCCAAGUGACAUUAACGUAACAACUGAUCAAAUCCUAGAUCACUUUGUGUGCAGCAAAGAUUUCUUAUUUUUUUCUCUGAAAAAGGAAUAUAACUCUUAGACGAUGUUUCUGAUACAUCUCUUUUAGACUUUGGACUAUGAGGUCAUUCAUAAUCUCUCGAUAGUUCCAAUUAAGUGCCUUCAUAAACAAAAACAUGAUAAUGUCUUGUAUUCUACAAGACCAGUAUCAUUCACGCAUAAAUGAAUCUUCAUGUUAUGUUGUACCAUUAUUUAACUAGAAUUCGAAGAGAAUUAUUUAUUUUGUAUAACCGCUUUCUAACUAAAAAAAACUUUUAGGAUUUAGUAUUAAAAAUAUUGUUUAGUUACAAAAGUUUGAAUUCACUAAUCUUUAAUAAAGAUUUAACAUGUAUGGUUUAUAUUUUAGCGUUCAAGUUUUAUAGUUAUGUUGUGACAUGCCAAAUGCCUCCUUAGCUAGACGCCUUAUUAGCCCGGCCAAAUGUCUGUUUUGGAGAUCAAACGUUCUACUUAAUCCAGAUCUCUGUCACCAGAUGUCUAACCCCUCGCUUAUUAUGAUAUUGUUUGAUUAAGACGUAAAUCCUUACACAUUUAUUUACGAUCAGUUGCUCUCCAAAAAGCUUAGUUCUAAGUGGAGUUGAACUAUAUAUAUACUGUAUAUUAGACUUUCUCUGAUCUAAUACCCGAUGUAGGACUUUGUUUGCUUAUUUAUCCUAACAAUCCUUCUUUUCAACAAAAUACCAUGCAACCUUGGCUCUGAUACAAAUUAGUUGUGAUGGACCAUAUGCUUUCAGGGGUCAGACGUUGUAUCAUAUGCUAUUUUCUGUGAACUAGAUGCUCUUCUAGAGAUAUAUAGAUUUAUGUCACAAGAUGUCCAACCCUUCGCUUGAUAAGAUAUUGUCAGUUUUAGGCCUAGAUCCUUACGGAUUUGUAUUUGGGUCGGUUGUUCCUAAAUAUCCUCAUACUCAGUGAAGUUGGACAAGAAGUUGGACCAGAACUUGGAUUGAUUAUUUAUCCUAACAAGCAUCCUCUCAAAGCAAGCACCACAUAAUCUUGGCUCUGAUAUUAAUGUUAUAACGAACUAAAUUCUGUCAUGGACCAGACGUUCUACUAGAGCUAGACUAGAUAGUCGUGGUGGGGGGGGGGGGGGGGGGUGUGGGGGUUAGACACUCUAUUAGAUCCAGAUGUCCAUUAUCAAAUGUCCAAAUUUUCGCUUAGUAUUGCCCAAUCACUUACAGAUUUUUUCUUGGGUUAGUUGUUAACGAAACGGUCUCAUAUAUACUAAGUAGACUUCGAUUGUGAUCUAAUAUCAACUGUGAGACUUAAAUUGUUUAUUUUUCCUAAUAAUUCUUCUUUGAAAUCAAGAACCACAAAAAUUUGGCUCUAGCACCAAUUUGUUGGUGACGAACUAGGUGCUCUCUUGGAUCAAACACUCUACUAGAGUCAAACCAAAUGUUCAUACUAGCGAUCAAACAGAUGUUCGUGCACCAGAUGUCUAACUUUUUAAUUAGUAUGAUAUUGUCUCCUUUGAAUCUAAAUCCUUACGAAUUUAUUUUUGGAUCAGUUGCUUUCCAUAAAAUUUUAUUUUAAACUGAUUUUAUAUAUAUAUAUAUAUAUAAUUGGCUUUCUCUUAUUUAACAUCUGAUGUUGAAUUUAGAUUGUUAUUUAUUCUAACACUAAAAUAUAUUUCUACUAUUGUUAUUAGAAAAUUAUAUUAUUACACAGAGUAUUAACAUUUAUAUCCAAAUUAAAAUGCUAUGUAUUAGUAAUAUUAUAAGAGACUAGUUUUAUUUGCGAAAAAGACUAAAUCGUCAUCUUGUAAUUCAUUUUCGGUUGAGGUAGUUUAGAAAAUAUUUCUAGUCAAACGUCUUCUGCAAAAGUCCGUAAAAGAUCUAUGAUUUGAGUUUUGUCUCUUCUUCUUUUUUUAUUUGUUAGAGUCUAAAACCAUUAAUAUCCGCAAAGUAUUUUAAUCUCCUGCGUAACGAAUGAAACGGGUCACGUUACUCACACUAUGAAAUGCCUAUUCGAGCAUGUAAAAGGCAUAUAUAUUCACGCCUUUCUAAAUCCUAUAUCAACAAAGUACAACGAUCUUUGUUGAUAUACUUCUCAUCAUUUUCCUUUUCAUUUUUAGUUUCAUUAUUUAGAAAUUUAGAUUACAGACUUACAAAGUUGACACGAUCUAUUUAUAUCAUCAUAUUGAAAUCGAUUCCCAAUUCCACAAAAGUUGGAAGCUAGAGGCGGAAAUGGAGGCAACCAAUGGGAUGAUGGAGCCGAGCAUGAAGGUGUAUCAAAGAUCUAUAUACGUGAGGGUCGUAAUGGCAUAGAGUCCAUCAAGUUUGACUAUGUUAAGAAUGGAGAACCUAAAGAUGGACCAAUCCAUGGUGGCUCGGGUCAAAGUUUCACCGAGUCGUUUGAUCUUAACCAUACUAUUGAUGAACAUAUCGUAUCAAUUAAGUGUUACUACGACGAGGGCGUGAUACAAGGUCUUGUGAUCAACAGGGCCGGCUCAUUGGGGGGGGGGGGGGGGGGGAAAGCGGUGCGACCGCCCGGGCUCAAGCCCGUGUCCCCCCGUAUAAUACUAAUUAAGGGGCCCAAUUUUUUAUAAAUUUAUAUUUUUAUAUAUAAAAAAUUAUAAAUAUAAUAAAUAAAAUUGAAAGGGGCCCAAAAUUAUUUGAUAUGUAUAUGAAUUUAUUUUCAUUACAAAAUAUACAAAAUAUUACUGAUUAAAUUUUAAAAAUAUUUUAAACAUUAUCUGUAUAUAAAUUUUAGAGGGUAAAAAAAAAAUUUCUUGCCCUAGGGCUCCUAACCGUGUUGAGCCGGCGCUGGUGAUCAAAACCAACAUCAGGACUUCUGCACUCAUGGGAUACAACCUUGGUACAAAGUUUAAACUUGGAGUCAAAGGCAAGAAAAUCAUUGGGUUCCAUGGAUCUUCUGACAAAAACCUAAACUCUCUUGGAGCUUAUUUCACGACGCUUUCUCCUGAUAAUUUGGAUGUCUAAAAGUUCAGCGGAAAAGCUACAUAUGAGCCCUCAAACGUUUUAUUUAUGUUACUUUGAAUCUUUACUAAUUAUAUCAUCUUUCAUGUUGUUUUGGCGUGCCUUCAGGUUAUUCAAUCUCUUGCAAAUUGCAAUAAAGCAAUGUGUAUUUUUUACCAGAUCAAUUCGAUUUCUCAUAAUAAAAGAAUAGUUAUGUCAUUUUAUAUCACUAUUUUGAGUUGUU
Molecule: long non-coding RNA, 5265 nt
Organism: Brassica rapa (field mustard)
Lineage: Eukaryota; Viridiplantae; Streptophyta; Magnoliopsida; Brassicales; Brassicaceae
Source: RefSeq, a predicted model, not a curated record